GCAAUAUGUUUUCUUUAUCAAAUCAUACAACUAAAGGUCAUAUUGCAGUCUAUGGAUGGUUUUUAGUCUAGAAUGACAUCAAAUAUUCGUUAUAUUUUACUUAAAUGCUACAAGUUUUCAAACAAAAUGGUAGGAUUGGAUUUUACCAAGCAUUUUUAGAAAAUCAAGAGCAAUUUUGUUCUGGGUUGGUGCUUUUAUUUUUUUUACCUACCUCAAUUGUUUUUAAUUGGUUUAUAUUUAAUGUCAUGAUUGAUGUUUAUAAUUGUAUGCUAUUAAUUGUUUUAUCGCUCUUUUUAUAU
Molecule: long non-coding RNA, 299 nt
Filed under: Mytilus galloprovincialis (Mediterranean mussel)
Lineage: Eukaryota; Metazoa; Mollusca; Bivalvia; Mytilida; Mytilidae
Source: RNAcentral